RNAcentral lists this ribosomal RNA (465 nucleotides) under Vreelandella stevensii. Its description in RNAcentral is "partial 16S ribosomal RNA". It matches the Rfam family "Bacterial small subunit ribosomal RNA", at positions 338 to 795 of the family's 1533-position model. The record is from RNAcentral. Lineage: Bacteria; Pseudomonadati; Pseudomonadota; Gammaproteobacteria; Oceanospirillales; Halomonadaceae.
CCUACGGGGGGCUGCAGUGGGGAAUAUUGGACAAUGGGGGGAACCCUGAUCCAGCCAUGCCGCGUGUGUGAAGAAGGCCCUCGGGUUGUAAAGCACUUUCAGUGAGGAAGAACGCCUGGUGGUUAAUACCCAUCAGGAAAGACAUCACUCACAGAAGAAGCACCGGCUAACUCCGUGCCAGCAGCCGCGGUAAUACGGAGGGUGCGAGCGUUAAUCGGAAUUACUGGGCGUAAAGCGCGCGUAGGUGGCUUGAUAAGCCGGUUGUGAAAGCCCCGGGCUCAACCUGGGAACGGCAUCCGGAACUGUCAAGCUAGAGUGCAGGAGAGGAAGGUAGAAUUCCCGGUGUAGCGGUGAAAUGCGUAGAGAUCGGGAGGAAGACCAGUGGCGAAGGGGGCCUUCUGGACUGACACUGACACUGAGGUGCGAAAGCGUGGGUAGCAAACAGGAUUAGAUACCCUAGUAGUC